CGGCCAAUAGCUUAAUGGAUAAAGCCCUGCAUUCCUAACGCAGCUGAUACGGGUUCGAAUCCCAUUUGGUCGG
RNAcentral lists this transfer RNA (73 nucleotides) under Oedogonium cardiacum. Its description in RNAcentral is "tRNA-Arg". It matches the Rfam family "tRNA". Rfam says of the family: Transfer RNA (tRNA) molecules are approximately 80 nucleotides in length. The record is from RNAcentral. Lineage: Eukaryota; Viridiplantae; Chlorophyta; Chlorophyceae; Oedogoniales; Oedogoniaceae.